UGAAGUCGGAAUUGCUAGUAAUCGCAGAUCAGCAUGCUGCGGUGAAUACGUUCCCGGGCCUUGUACACACCGCCCGUCACACCAUGGGAGUCGGUAACACCCGAAGUCGGUAGCCUAACCGUAAGGAGGGCGCCGCCGAAGGUGGGAUUGAUGACUGGGGUGAAGUCGUAACAAGGUAGC
This 180-nucleotide ribosomal RNA is filed under the name uncultured bacterium. RNAcentral describes it as "partial 16S ribosomal RNA". It matches the Rfam family "Bacterial small subunit ribosomal RNA", at positions 1321 to 1500 of the family's 1533-position model. The record is from RNAcentral.